UAGUCAUAUGCUUGCUUUAAAGAUUAAGCCAUGCACGUGUCAGAGUAUGCCUGUCAAGGCGAAUCUGCAGACGGCUCAUUACAACAGCUAUUACAAAAGUGACGUUUCAUAAACGGAUAACCGUGGGGAACCAAGGCUAAUACGGUUGAAAUGCAAGACACUUUGUCUUGUGUCUAUCCUGCAGCAAAAACCAAACGCGCACGUCGUGUGAGACGAACCGCAGGAUUAUGUCGAGUCGAGAAAUCGAUGCGUCAUCUUGGUUUCUGACCUAUCAGCUAUCGACGGUAGGGUGUUUGCCUACCGUGGCGACGACGGGUAACGGGGAAUUAGGGUUUGAUUCCGGAGAGGGAGCCUGAGAGACGGCUACCACGUCUAAGGAUGGCAGCAGGCGCGCAAAUUACCCAAUCCUGAUGCAGGGAGGUAGUGACAAAAAAUAGCAACACGAAGCAAUCGCUUCGAUGAUUGCAAUGAGAUUCUGCUAAACUAUGCUUCUAGAAUCAAUUA
RNAcentral lists this ribosomal RNA (504 nucleotides) under uncultured microeukaryote. Its description in RNAcentral is "bacterial SSU rRNA". It matches the Rfam family "Eukaryotic small subunit ribosomal RNA", at positions 21 to 550 of the family's 1831-position model. The record is from RNAcentral.